RNAcentral lists this ribosomal RNA (672 nucleotides) under uncultured fungus. Its description in RNAcentral is "eukaryotic LSU rRNA". It matches the Rfam family "Eukaryotic large subunit ribosomal RNA", at positions 24 to 664 of the family's 3401-position model. The record is from RNAcentral. Lineage: Eukaryota; Fungi.
CCCGCUGAACUUAAGCAUAUCAAUAAGCGGAGGAAAAGAAACUAACAAGGAUUCCCCUAGUAACUGCGAGUGAAGCGGGAAAAGCUCAAAUUUAAAAUCUGGCGGUCCUCUGGGCUGUCCGAGUUGUAAUCUGGAGAAGCGUUUUCCGCGUCGGACCGUGUACAAGUCUUCUGGAACGAAGCGUCAUAGAGGGUGAGAAUCCCGUCUCUGACACGGACCGCCGAUGCUUUAUGUGAUACGCUCUCGAAGAGUCGAGUUGUUUGGGAAUGCAGCUCAAAAUGGGUGGUAAAUUCCAUCUAAAGCUAAAUAUUGGCGAGAGACCGAUAGCGAACAAGUACCGUGAGGGAAAGAUGAAAAGCACUUUGGAAAGAGAGUUAAACAGUACGUGAAAUUGUUGAAAGGGAAACGUUUGAAGUCAGUCGCGUCGGCCGAGACUCAACCUUGCCAUCUCGGCUCGGUGCAUUUCUCGGUUGACGGGUCAGCAUCAAUUUCGGGCGUCGGAUAAAGGCUGAGGGAACGUGGCAUCCUUCGGGGUGUGUUAUAGCCCUCGGUUCGCAUACGACGAUCGGGAUUGAGGAACUCAGCACGCCUUCAUUGGUCGGGGCUUCGGCUCACGUUAACGUGCUUAGGAUGCUGGCGUAAUGGCUUUAAGCGACCCGUCUUGAAACACGG